AACUAUUGGAAACGAUAGCUAAUACCGCAUAACAAUGGAUGACACAUGUCAUUUAUUUGAAAGGGGCAAUUGCUCCACUACAAGAUGGACCUGCGUUGUAUUAGCUAGUAGGUGAGGUAAUGGCUCACCUAGGCGACGAUACAUAGCCGACCUGAG
This 156-nucleotide ribosomal RNA is filed under the name Streptococcus sp. G01_7. RNAcentral describes it as "partial 16S ribosomal RNA". It matches the Rfam family "Bacterial small subunit ribosomal RNA", at positions 145 to 296 of the family's 1533-position model. Lineage: Bacteria; Bacillati; Bacillota; Bacilli; Lactobacillales; Streptococcaceae. The record is from RNAcentral.